UAAAUACUCUCUCCGUCCUGAAAUACUUGUCGGGGAAUGGAUGUAUCUAGACAUAUUUUAAUUCUAGAUACAUCCAUUUUUAUGCAUUUCUCCGACAAGUAUUUUUGGACGGAGGGAGUAAUAG
This is a non-coding RNA of Triticum aestivum (bread wheat), 124 nucleotides long. Lineage: Eukaryota; Viridiplantae; Streptophyta; Magnoliopsida; Poales; Poaceae. The record is from Rfam.